This 825-nucleotide long non-coding RNA is filed under the name Olea europaea (common olive). RNAcentral describes it as "long non-coding RNA (OEUR_LNC012202)". Lineage: Eukaryota; Viridiplantae; Streptophyta; Magnoliopsida; Lamiales; Oleaceae. The record is from RNAcentral.
CAACACUCACAUGUCGAUGAUACGAGUUGGAUAUACAUCGCUGACAAGCUGUGAAUAUUUAAAAAUAAUAAAAAAAUAAUUAAAUAAAAGGAAGAAACUAACCUGUAUGUCUUUCUAGAUAUCUGAUAGAAAAUCACAAAGCAGUGGGCCGAGAAGAUGGCAUAUGGCCAUAGAGGGGAGCAAGUCUGAAUGGUGUUGGGUCGAUGGCACUAAUGAGUGAAACCAGCGUAGAGAAAAUGAAACUCUUCCUUUCAUUUUAAAUUGGAAACAGCCAUUUAACAAAAAAAAAAAAUGGAAGAGACACUUUUUUACUUACAAAAGCAGUGGCCAUUAUUGGGAUUAAAUGGUCACAAGUGCAUAAGCAGUCAACAGGGCACUUAACCAUUAAAAUUACCAAUUAAACCUUAACUUUAAUUACAAAUUCAUCAAAAAUUUGUAAAAAUAUAAUAUUACUUUAAUCAAUGAGUCUCCAAUGUGUAGUAUCCUAUUUUUAUGAAACAAUCAGCAUGUCCAUGUUGCAUCAUUCCCGUGAUGGUGCUUCUUACAGUUUAAUCAUUCUCACUGACUAAAUUGGCCUUACAAAUAUAAAACAAAAAUGAACAAACACUGAUCAUAAUUCUGGUACGCAAGUAAACAAGCAUGUCUUUUGAAUUCUAACCUCUGUUUUAAAACGGGAAUCUGAUGGUGGCAUCUUCAAGUGUGCCUUCCAAUCUUGUGAACUGAUUGGGAAAAAAAAGAAUAAGUAAAACUGCAUCAAUAACACAAGUAAAUGCAAAGAAUAUUUGUAGAGAUAUAGGGGGAAAAUUAAGCAGAAAAAGAAAUUUU